UACGAAGGGGGCUAGCGUUGCUCGGAAUCACUGGGCGUAAAGCGCACGUAGGCGGAUUGUUAAGUCAGGGGUGAAAUCCUGGAGCUCAACUCCAGAACUGCCUUUGAUACUGGCGAUCUUGAGUCCGGGAGAGGUGAGUGGAACUGCGAGUGUAGAGGUGAAAUUCGUAGAUAUUCGCAAGAACACCAGUGGCGAAGGCGGCUCACUGGCCCGGUACUGACGCUGAGGUGCGAAAGCGUGGGGAGCUAACAGG
Molecule: ribosomal RNA, 253 nt
Filed under: uncultured bacterium
Lineage: Bacteria
Description: partial 16S ribosomal RNA
Rfam family: Bacterial small subunit ribosomal RNA
Source: RNAcentral